Molecule: long non-coding RNA, 1044 nt
Organism: Labrus mixtus (cuckoo wrasse)
Lineage: Eukaryota; Metazoa; Chordata; Actinopteri; Labriformes; Labridae
Exons: 3
Source: RefSeq, a predicted model, not a curated record
CUUUCAUUUUCAACAACUUUGAAGACAUAACUGAAGAAAACAUGCAUGUCAGUAGAGGCGGUACUGCAUAAUUUAGUCCACUAUAAAAGCAAGUAAAAACAGCAAGCAUCUCAUUCACUUUCGGAACACCUUAUUUUCAACAUUUUUAUUUUCCAUCCAAAAAAGUAACAACUGAUAAUUUGGGUAUGGGUAUCUUUAUCCAAGUAGCUACUUUGAUGAUUGUUCAGCAGCUCUUCCAUCUGGCAAGUUGUGAAACUAUAUGCAGUCCAUCCAGACCAGUAAGGAACAUCGUGAGCCAAGCCUCAGAUAAGCUUCAGCCGAAGUAUUCAUCAUCUCUUGACACAAACCCCAACGAAGAAGGAAACCCUGGACCGUUGAACAUCUCGAAGUUCACUUUAGUGGGUGUUGGGGCCAUUUUUGGUGUUUUGGUUAUUGGUGCUAUGGGGUGGCACUUUAAAACGAGGCAACCGAAACUUAUUUAAACAAUGCUGAUUAGCAGCAGGUGUCGCGCACAAGGAAGGUAAGGAAUGGUUUUUAACCGUGGCACGUCAUGGUGAAAGUUGAAUACCGAGGCAAGAAUCAAGCAUUUUCUUUUCUUUUAUUUACAAAUCUUUAUUAUGUUGACUAAUUAAAAGGAUUGGCAUAUCCAACUGGAAGAUUUUGUGUUUGUUAGUUUGUUUUUGGACUCACGCCAAGGAGCCACGCGUACUAAACCGAUCCAACAAAGAAAUGUGCGUCAACAGUGGGCCUUACCGCCCUCAGCAGAAGUGUCCUCAAUCAUAUCAACUCUGUAGGCUGUGCUGAGGAAGUAGGCAAAUCUGUUCUGUCAGUAACUAUGUUGUAACUGUGCAAUUUGGGCAAGUUAAGAAUGCUUUGAUCUCACACUGUGCCUUUCAAUGGAAAAAAUAAAUAAAUCAUCUUUUGAAUCUUAGAACAUAACAAACAAAACAGAAACCAUGAAGUACUGAAACCUUUCAUGCAGUCAUGUACAUUGUCUGAGAAUGAACCUAAACCUGCGCAGAGAAUAAAAAGCAUAAAACAUUA